CAGAAAAAGGGGCGGUGUCGGCCUGAUACUCCUUCUUUUUUCAUUUCUUUUUUUUGUUUUUCCUUUCGUUCUCUUGUCGUUUUCUAUUU
Molecule: non-coding RNA, 89 nt
Filed under: Aurantiochytrium limacinum
Lineage: Eukaryota; Bigyra; Thraustochytrida; Thraustochytriidae
Source: RNAcentral